AUAAAAAAUAAACCUUGGUUUCCAUAUCCAAAGUUUUACCGUCCAUCUUAUUUAAAAAAAUUAUAAAAAAAAUUAAAAAGACAAGUCACGUAUAAAAUAUUAAUCAUGUUUUAUCAUCUAUUAAUAAUGAAAAUAUAAAUUAUAAACAAAAUUCAUAUAAGACGGAUAGUCAAAGUUGGACACGAAAACCUAUAAUUUGCCUUUUU
Oryza sativa Indica Group (long-grained rice) is the source of this 206-nucleotide microRNA precursor. It matches the Rfam family "MIR812 microRNA precursor family". The record is from Rfam. Lineage: Eukaryota; Viridiplantae; Streptophyta; Magnoliopsida; Poales; Poaceae.